UCUUAGCAUGCGAAGACCGCAUUCCUGGUGUAGUCCUGAGAAGUGAUGCUCCGAGUGUUAAGUUGAUGACAGAAAACUGCUGGCAACACUGAGCAUCAAGACAAAUAAACCAGCUCACAUCUGAAGUUAAA
Molecule: long non-coding RNA, 131 nt
Organism: Xiphophorus couchianus (Monterrey platyfish)
Lineage: Eukaryota; Metazoa; Chordata; Actinopteri; Cyprinodontiformes; Poeciliidae
Exons: 2
Source: RefSeq, a predicted model, not a curated record